Non-coding RNA from Pelobates cultripes (western spadefoot toad), 628 nucleotides. Lineage: Eukaryota; Metazoa; Chordata; Amphibia; Anura; Pelobatidae. The record is from the annotation of a GenBank genome assembly.
CUCUUGGCACUCACUUCAAAACACCUCUACACACAGACUCCCUCUGUUUAUCACACAUUACCUCUCUGUUACACACAGGAACCUGGGGGCCACACAUUACCUCUGCUUCACAACAGACAGACACACGACACACAAACACACUACACACAAUACAUUUUACACAAAAAGGGCUACACAAUUGGGUUUAACAUAACACAUAAGCUGAAUUUCGGGCACUGACAAACCAUCAGGAUAGCCUUCCUUAUUUCUUUCAUGCACAUCUCUCCUUACACACAGACAGAGACACACACACACACACAGAGUACGAGCUGGUAUUAGGUAUAAUUAGACUGGUUCUAAUUGUUAGAUGAUGCUGUCUUUUAGCUUAGCAGUGUACCCAAACCUUUAUUCCUCUUAAGAAUAAAAACGACACAAUGCAUUGACAAAAACAUCCAGUCCUGUCCCAUGCAAACACAGACACACGCCUGAUACUUAGUUUCACACACACCUUUUUUAAUGCAUUCAGACACAUUUUAACUGUUACCUGUCAGUUCACUAGCAAAGCCUCUCCACAGCUUUCUUCUACUCCCCAUUACUGAAAAGCAGAAAACUACCCCCACCUCGCACAUAGUCAGAGACACAGGGCCUA